AUUCCAGCUCCAAUAGCGUAUAUUAAAGUUGUUGCGGUUAAAAAGCUCGUAGUUGGAUUUCUGCUAGGGACGAUCGGUCCACCCACUGGGUGUGUAUCUGUGUCGGCCUUGGCAUCUUCCUGGCGAACGCAACUGCACUUGACUGUGUGGUGCGGUAUCCAGGACUUUUACUUUGAGGAAAUUAGAGUGUUUCAAGCAGGCGCACGCCUUGAAUACAUUAGCAUGGAAUAAUAAGAUAGGACCUGAGUUCUACUUUGUUGGUUUCUAGAGCUGAGGUAAUGAUUAACAGGGACAGUCAGGGGCACUCGUAUUCCGCCGAGAGAGGUGAAAUUCUCAGACCAGCGGAAGACGAACCACUGCGAAAGCAUUUGCCAGGGAUGUUUUCAUUG
RNAcentral lists this ribosomal RNA (389 nucleotides) under Gymnodiniaceae sp. RNAcentral describes it as "partial small subunit ribosomal RNA". It matches the Rfam family "Eukaryotic small subunit ribosomal RNA", at positions 582 to 975 of the family's 1831-position model. The record is from RNAcentral. Lineage: Eukaryota; Dinophyceae; Gymnodiniales; Gymnodiniaceae.